This 567-nucleotide ribosomal RNA is filed under the name uncultured Actinomycetes bacterium. RNAcentral describes it as "bacterial SSU rRNA". It matches the Rfam family "Bacterial small subunit ribosomal RNA", at positions 338 to 916 of the family's 1533-position model. Lineage: Bacteria; Bacillati; Actinomycetota; Actinomycetes. The record is from RNAcentral.
CCUACGGGAGGCAGCAGUGGGGAAUAUUGGGCAAUGGAGGAAACUCUGACCCAGCGACGCCGCGUGAGGGAUGAAGGCCUUCGGGUUGUAAACCUCUUUCAGUAGGGAAGAAGCGAAAGUGACGGUACCUACAGAAGAAGCACCGGCUAACUAUGUGCCAGCAGCCGCGGUAAUACAUAGGGUGCAAGCGUUGUCCGGAAUUAUUGGGCGUAAAGAGCUCGUAGGUGGUUCGAUACGUCGGAUGUGAAAAUCAGGGGCUCAACCCCUGACCUGCAUCCGAUACGGUCGAGCUGGAGUUUGGUAGGGGAGACUGGAAUUCCUGGUGUAGCGGUGGAAUGCGCAGAUAUCAGGAGGAACACCGAUGGCGAAGGCAGGUCUCUGGGCCAAUACUGACACUGAGGAGCGAAAGCGUGGGGAGCGAACAGGAUUAGAUACCCUGGUAGUCCACGCCGUAAACGGUGGGCGCUAGUUGUGCGAACCUUCCACGGUUUGUGCGACGCAGCUAACGCAUUAAGCGCCCCGCCUGGGGAGUACGAUCGCAAGAUUAAAACUCAAAGGAAUUGACGG